CCUGUUUUGUGCUAAAUCUAUCGCAAGAUAGGGACAGAAAGCUACGAGUCUCUAUGAGAUAGUCGGGUUGCCAGG
This 75-nucleotide non-coding RNA is filed under the name Candidatus Moduliflexus flocculans. RNAcentral's name for it is "Bacterium UASB14 c-di-GMP sequence". It matches the Rfam family "c-di-GMP-I riboswitch aptamer". Rfam says of the family: GEMM was predicted in a large-scale screen for bacterial structured RNA regulatory elements. Lineage: Bacteria; Candidatus Moduliflexota; Candidatus Moduliflexia; Candidatus Moduliflexales; Candidatus Moduliflexaceae. The record is from Rfam by way of RNAcentral.